This 31-nucleotide non-coding RNA is filed under the name Rattus norvegicus (Norway rat). The record is from RNAcentral. Lineage: Eukaryota; Metazoa; Chordata; Mammalia; Rodentia; Muridae.
CAGAGUUGAUACAAGUCUCUUGUGACCUGGU